GAUGAACGCUGGCGGCGUGCUUAACACAUGCAAGUCGAACGGAAACAGGAUGAAGCCUAGCGAUUCCUGUUUUAGUGGCGGACGGGUGAGUAACGCGUGGGUAACCUGCCUUACACUGGGGGAUAACAGUUAGAAAUAGCUGCUAAUACCGCAUAAGCGCACAGGGCCGCAUGGCCUGGUGUGAAAAACUCCGGUGGUGUAAGAUGGACCCGCGUCUGAUUAGCUAGUUGGUGAGGUAACGGCCCACCAAGGCGACGAUCAGUAGCCGGCCUGAGAGGGUGAACGGCCACAUUGGGACUGGGAAACGGCCCAAACUCCUACGGGAGGCAGCAGUGGGGAAUAUUGCACAAUGGGGAAACCCUGAUGCAGCGACGCCGCGUGAGUGAAGAAGUAUUUCGGUAUGUAAAGCUCUGUCAGCAAGGAAGAAAAUGACGGUACUUGACUAAGAAGCCCCGGCUAACUACGUGCCAGCCGCCGCAGUAA
This 483-nucleotide ribosomal RNA is filed under the name uncultured bacterium. Its description in RNAcentral is "partial 16S ribosomal RNA". It matches the Rfam family "Bacterial small subunit ribosomal RNA", at positions 28 to 523 of the family's 1533-position model. The record is from RNAcentral.